CAGCAGUCGCCACGGGAAUACAGAGGGUGCGAGCGUUAAUCGGAUUUACUGGGCGUAAAGCGUGCGUAGGCGGCUUUUUAAGUCGGAUGUGAAAUCCCUGAGCUUAACUUAGGAAUUGCAUUCGAUACUGGUAAGCUAGAGUAUGGGAGAGGAUGGUAGAAUUCCAGGUGUAGCGGUGAAAUGCGUAGAGAUCUGGAGGAAUACCGAUGGCGAAGGCAGCCAUCUGGCCUAAUACUGACGCUGAGGUACGAAAGCAUGGGGAGCAAACAGGAUUAGAUACCCGAGUAGUCCCUGUCUCUUAUAC
This 304-nucleotide ribosomal RNA is filed under the name uncultured bacterium. RNAcentral's name for it is "partial 16S ribosomal RNA". It matches the Rfam family "Bacterial small subunit ribosomal RNA", at positions 506 to 807 of the family's 1533-position model. The record is from RNAcentral.